CCACGCUGUAAACACUCCGCCUGGGGAGUACGCACGCAAGUGUGAAACUCAAAGGAAUUGACGGGGACCCGCACAAGCAGCGGAGCAUGUGGUUUAAUUCGACGCAACGCGAAGAACCUUACCAAGUCUUGACAUAUUUCGGAGAAUAUUAGAGAUAAUAUUUUAUGACUUCGGUCAACUGAAAUACAGGUGGUGCAUGGUUGU
Molecule: ribosomal RNA, 204 nt
Filed under: uncultured bacterium
Lineage: Bacteria
Description: partial 16S ribosomal RNA
Rfam family: Bacterial small subunit ribosomal RNA
Source: RNAcentral